This is a small nucleolar RNA of Telopea speciosissima, 96 nucleotides long. RefSeq annotates it as small nucleolar RNA Z103. The record is from RefSeq and is a predicted model, not a curated record. Lineage: Eukaryota; Viridiplantae; Streptophyta; Magnoliopsida; Proteales; Proteaceae. The transcript has a single exon.
AUGGAAGUGAUGACUCUUUCCCCAACUGCUCGACUCUGAAGAAACUAAGCUUUUAUAGUUUCUCUACGGAGAAUUCAAGCCAAGAAACUGAUCCAU